RNAcentral lists this ribosomal RNA (273 nucleotides) under uncultured bacterium. RNAcentral describes it as "partial 16S ribosomal RNA". It matches the Rfam family "Bacterial small subunit ribosomal RNA", at positions 524 to 790 of the family's 1533-position model. The record is from RNAcentral.
UACAGAGGGGGCAAGCGUUUGUUCGGAAUUACUGGGCGUAAAGGGCGCGUAGGCGGCCUUCUAAGUCGAACGUGAAAUCCCCGGGCUCAACCCGGGAACUGCGUCCGAUACUGGAAGGCUUGAAUCCGGGAGAGGGAUGCGGAAUUCCAGGUGUAGCGGUGAAAUGCGUAGAUAUCUGGAGGAACACCGGUGGCGAAGGCGGCAUCCUGGACCGGUAUUGACGCGUGAGGCGCGAAAGCGUGGGGGAGCGAACGAGGAAUUAUGAUACCCUAC